Molecule: long non-coding RNA, 274 nt
Organism: Psammomys obesus (fat sand rat)
Lineage: Eukaryota; Metazoa; Chordata; Mammalia; Rodentia; Muridae
Exons: 3
Source: RefSeq, a predicted model, not a curated record
AAGACUUGGAACCGUGUCAGCAUAAAACUGAAGAAAUUCAUAAUGAAAGUGAAGACGAAGAUGAUGAGUUGAUCUUUGUUGGAGAGACAUCAAUGUUGAAACCUGACAUUCCAAAUGUUUUGAAGACAUGUCUCCCCAACUCAUCUUCAGAGGAAGAAAAGGGUGACUUACUCAAUCCAGCUAUUUCUAAUAUAUUCAAGACUACAAAUCAACACUACAGAAAUCCAUCACCUAAUCCAGUGGUUGCUUUGCCAAGCUUUGAUCCUGAACCAAA